This 254-nucleotide ribosomal RNA is filed under the name uncultured bacterium. Its description in RNAcentral is "partial 16S ribosomal RNA". It matches the Rfam family "Bacterial small subunit ribosomal RNA", at positions 524 to 776 of the family's 1533-position model. The record is from RNAcentral.
UACGAAGGGGGCUAGCGUUGCUCGGAAUUAUUGGGCGUAAAGAGCUCGUAGGCGGUGUGUCACGUCGGCCGUGAAAACCUGCAGCUUAACUGUGGGCUUGCGGUCGAUACGGGCAUCACUGGAGUUCGGCAGGGGAGACUGGAAUUCCUGGUGUAGCGGUGAAAUGCGCAGAUAUCAGGAGGAACACCGAUGGCGAAGGCAGCACUCUGGGACGGUACUGACGCUGAGACGCGAAAGCGUGGGGAGCAAACAGG